AAUAUUAAUUCAAUAUAAAAGAGGGUAAACCAAGCAAAUCAAAACUCUUUGUGUGUUUUGACUUUGUCAUAAGAAGACUUAGAUUUCUUCAAUGUUUGUGAGAGAAUACAAGCUAAGCACAGAUUUUACUUGACCUCAGAUUCUGCACAUGCAACAUGAAAUUGUAAAUACAUGUAUUGUUCAAAUUUAUUUGUUCCUGUUACUAUGCUACAACACUUUGAUUUAACUGUGGCUGGCUCUACCUGCAGAAUAAAUUAACAUUCAGAGUAUCUCUUUGUCUCUGCUGUGUUUCCAUUCUUUUAUUUUUGGCCCAGUUCUAGUUUCAAUAUACUUAACUAUGGAAUGUGCCACUCCUUGAUACAGAGCUGGGUCAGUAUCGAUUUAUAGUGAGUCUUUGCCCUGAUGAACAUGGCUGUGACACACAAUAUAACUUUUUUCAGCACCAGGGAUUAGCAAGCAUUAGGUUACUGAGGUACUGAGACCACCUCUCAGUGCAGCAGGACACAGCAGGUGCUGUGGCACUACACAAUCACAAAUAUUGCAAAACAGAUGCAUGUGCAAG
Molecule: long non-coding RNA, 562 nt
Organism: Melanotaenia boesemani (Boeseman's rainbowfish)
Lineage: Eukaryota; Metazoa; Chordata; Actinopteri; Atheriniformes; Melanotaeniidae
Exons: 3
Source: RefSeq, a predicted model, not a curated record